AUGAGCAAACCUGGGUCUGCCCGUCUGUUCAGACAUCGGGGCACCGCCGCCCAGCGAGGCCCCGCCUCUCCAGCCCUUCUGUCUCCCCUCCCCUCUCCAUCCUCGCCGCUGCAUGUCACUCCUACAACCGCGCUGAUUAGAAUUGAUCAGACAGAAUCGCGGAAUCACAGCUCGUUUUGCUGUUUUGUUCGGUCACCCGAUCCGCCAAGAGACUCCGGGGGUCGGGCAGGCUGUAUCCCCCGUCCUGGAAUUCCGCUCGGAGGCCUCGGGCCGCCGAGGACCCGCGAGGCUGGGGGCCGGGGGCGCGGGGUGUGUCGGCCUCCCCCGGCGCCCGCGCCCGCGCCCGCGCCCCCCGGGGCGCCCCGCGGCCCCUCGCCCCCGCCCCGCCCCCGCCCCCGCCCCCGCCCCCGCCCGCGGCCGCCUCGCCCCGCUCCCCUUGACGUCAUGCGGGCAGCAGGCUGGCUUGCGCGGCGCGGCGCAGGGCCGGAGCGGGAGCUCAACUUCGGGCUCGCGUCGGCGCUGUGCGCCCCGUGCCGUGCGCCCGGCCCCUGGCUCCCCUGCUCCCCGGCUCCGGGCUCCGGGCUCCGGGCUCCGGGCUCCCGGCUCCCGGCUCCCGGCUCCCCGCUCCCCGCUCCCCGCGCGCCGCCGCCGCCGCCACAUCUGGAAGCGUUCAGCGCGUCUGCCUCCAGCGCGCCGGGCGGGCGGGCGGGCGCGGGCAGGGGAGGGCGCGGGCGCGGGCGCGGCGCGGCGGGGCUGGGCUGGGCUGGGCGGCGGGGAGCGCGGCGCUCUCUCGCGCGCCCGGUGUCUCCCUCUCCCCGCCUCUGCAGAAGCAGCUCCCUGCCAGAACGGCGCUCGGCGCGGCCCGGAGCGGCGGCGGCGCCUCUUCCUGCCGGCUCGCCCUCGGGACCCGCUGGACCUGCCCGGCGGGAGGGAGCUGCCGGGGCCGGGAGAGCGCGCGCCGCGGGCGGGCCGAGACGAGACGAGCCGGCCCCGCUGGCCCGGGCAGACCCCGCUGCCCCACUCCCCCCCUUCCCGCCUCUCCUCGCUCUGCCUCUCUCCAUUUAUUUUGUCAAAUGGUGUAGCCGCCAGAGGUGCGGUGCUAAAUUCUUGGAAGGGGCCCGGAUGUACCGAGGAUGCAUUACAAUUUCACAAAAGGAGGCACUAGUGGAGAGGAGCAGUUUUCGGUGUUCGAUGCGAUAA
This 1200-nucleotide long non-coding RNA is filed under the name Canis lupus familiaris (dog). Its description in RNAcentral is "lncRNA (ENSCAFG00030021001.1)". Lineage: Eukaryota; Metazoa; Chordata; Mammalia; Carnivora; Canidae. The record is from RNAcentral.